Molecule: ribosomal RNA, 253 nt
Filed under: uncultured bacterium
Lineage: Bacteria
Description: partial 16S ribosomal RNA
Rfam family: Bacterial small subunit ribosomal RNA
Source: RNAcentral
UACGGAGGGUGCAAGCGUUAUCCGGAUUCACUGGGGUUAAAGGGUGCGUAGGCGGGCAGGUAAGUCAGUGGUGAAAUCUUCGAGCUUAACUCGGAAACUGCCGUUGAUACUAUCUGUCUUGAAUACCCGGGAGGUGAGCGGAAUAUGUCAUGUAGCGGUGAAAUGCUUAGAUAUGACAUAGAACACCAAUUGCGAAGGCAGCUCACUACAGGGUCAUUGACGCUGAGGCACGAAAGCGUGGGGAUCAAACAGG